GAUGAACGCUGGCGGCGUGCUUAACACAUGCCAGUCGAACGGAAAGGCCCAAGCUUGCUUGGGUACUCGAGUGGCGAACGGGUGAGUAACACGUGGGUGAUCUGCCCUGCACUUCGGGAUAAGCCUGGGAAACUGGGUCUAAUACUGGAUAGGACCACUUCUUGGAUGGUGUGGUGGAAAGUUUUUUCGGUGUGGGAUGAGCUCGCGGCCUAUCAGCUUGUUGGUGGGGUAAUGGCCUACCAAGGCGUCGACGGGUAGCCGGCCUGAGAGGGUGUACGGCCACAUUGGGACUGAGAUACGGCCCAGACUCCUACGGGAGGCAGCAGUGGGGAAUAUUGCACAAUGGGCGCAAGCCUGAUGCAGCGACGCCGCGUGGGGGAUGACGGCCUUCGGGUUGUAAACUCCUUUAGCUAGGGACGAAGCGUUUUUGUGACGGUACCUGGAGAAGAAGCACCGGCUAACUACGUG
This 468-nucleotide ribosomal RNA is filed under the name uncultured bacterium. RNAcentral's name for it is "partial 16S ribosomal RNA". It matches the Rfam family "Bacterial small subunit ribosomal RNA", at positions 28 to 507 of the family's 1533-position model. The record is from RNAcentral.